GCUGGGUGUGGUGGUGCAUGCCUGUAAUCCUAGCUACUCGGGAGGCUGAGGCAGGAGAAUCGCUUGAACCAGGGAGUUGGAGGUUGCAGUGAGCUGAGAUCGCGCCACUGCCUCCACCCUGGUGACACAGCGAGACUCCGUGUCAA
RNAcentral lists this non-coding RNA (146 nucleotides) under Homo sapiens (human). Lineage: Eukaryota; Metazoa; Chordata; Mammalia; Primates; Hominidae. The record is from Rfam by way of RNAcentral.